UACAGAGGGUGCAAGCGUUAAUCGGAAUUACUGGGCGUAAAGCGUGCGUAGACGGUUAUGUAAGUCAGGUGUGAAAGCCCCGGGCUCAACCUGGGAAUUGCAUUUGAGACUGCAUAGCUAGGGUGCGGAAGAGGGAAGCGGAAUUUCCGGUGUAGCGGUGAAAUGCGUAGAUAUCGGAAGGAACAUCAGUGGCGAAGGCGGGUCUCUGGGCCGAUACUGACGCUGAGGAGCGAAAGCGUGGGGAGCGAACAGG
RNAcentral lists this ribosomal RNA (253 nucleotides) under uncultured bacterium. RNAcentral describes it as "partial 16S ribosomal RNA". It matches the Rfam family "Bacterial small subunit ribosomal RNA", at positions 524 to 776 of the family's 1533-position model. The record is from RNAcentral.